GUCACCUUGGGAUCUUGUUGAAAUGCAGGUUCUGAUCAGUAAGUCUGAGACAGGGCUUGAGAUUCUGCAUUUCUAACAAGCUUCCAAGAGAUGCUGA
This 97-nucleotide microRNA precursor is filed under the name Felis catus (domestic cat). RNAcentral's name for it is "mir-544 microRNA precursor family". It matches the Rfam family "mir-544 microRNA precursor family". Lineage: Eukaryota; Metazoa; Chordata; Mammalia; Carnivora; Felidae. The record is from Rfam by way of RNAcentral.